AGAGUUUGAUCCUGGCUCAGAACGAACGCUUGCGGCGUGCUUAACACAUGCAAGUCGAACGAGAAAGGGGCUUCGGUCCUGAGUAAAGUGGCGCACGGGUGAGUAACGCGUAGGUAAUCUACCCCUGUGUUCGGGACAACAUCGGGAAACUGGUGCUAAUACCGGAUACGGUUCACGGAUUGCGAAAUAAGUGAAGGAAAGAUGGGGACCCUUCGGGGCCUAUUGCACGGGGAUGAGCCUGCGUACCAUUAGCUAGUUGGCAGGGUAAGGGCCUACCAAGGCGACGAUGGUUAGCGGGUCUGAGAGGAUGAUCCGCCACACUGGCACUGGAACACGGGCCAGACUCCUACGGGAGGCAGCAGUGAGGAAUUUUGCACAAUGGGGGAAACCCUGAUGCAGCGACGCCGCGUGAGUGACGAAGGUCUUCGGAUCGUAAAGCUCUGUCAGCAGGGAAGAAAUGUGCGAUGGCUAAUAUCCAUAGUACUUGACGGUACCUGCAAAGGAAGCACCGGCUAACUCCGUGCCAGCAGCCGCGGUAAUACGGAGGGUGCGAGCGUUGUUCGGAUUUACUGGGCGUAAAGGGCGCGUAGGCGGCCUGCUAAGUCAUAUGUGAAAGCCCACGGCUCAACCGUGGAAGUGCAUGUGAAACUGACAGGCUUGAGUACUGGAGGGGAGUGUGGAAUUCCCGGUGUAGAGGUGAAAUUCGUAGAUAUCGGGAGGAAUACCGGUGGCGAAGGCGACACUCUGGACAGAUACUGACGCUGAGGCGCGAAAGCGUGGGGAGCAAACAGGAUUAGAUACCCUGGUAGUCC
RNAcentral lists this ribosomal RNA (812 nucleotides) under uncultured bacterium. RNAcentral's name for it is "bacterial SSU rRNA". It matches the Rfam family "Bacterial small subunit ribosomal RNA", at positions 8 to 796 of the family's 1533-position model. The record is from RNAcentral.